GAGAGUUAAACAGUACGUGAAAUUGUUGAAAGGGAAACGAUUGAAGUCAGUCAUACUAACGGGAAAUCAACCUCUUGAGUUUGGUCUCGUGGGUUUCGAAGAGUUUAAAUGCCUUCGGAUUUUCGAGAUUGGGUUCUUCUGGUGUACUUUCUCGUACGGUUAGUCAAUAUCGGUUUUGAAUGUCAUAAAAUGACUGGAGGAAUGUGGCUUCGAUCUCGUAUUGAAGUGUUAUAGCCUUUGGUAGAUGUGAUGUUCGAGACCGAGGAUUGUGCAACGGAUACCCUUCUGGGCUAUUCGUCUGAUCUCUGAAACGUUGCCUUGAUGUCGAAAGCUUGCUUAUGAUGUUAGGGUAUUACGGUCAAAAGGUUAGAACGGAUUAAAUUCGUUAAGGAUGUUGACGUAAUGACUUUAAACGA
Molecule: ribosomal RNA, 416 nt
Filed under: uncultured Funneliformis
Lineage: Eukaryota; Fungi; Glomeromycota; Glomeromycetes; Glomerales; Glomeraceae
Description: partial 28S ribosomal RNA
Source: RNAcentral